Long non-coding RNA from Saccostrea cuccullata (small rock oyster), 380 nucleotides. RefSeq lists it as uncharacterized. The record is from RefSeq and is a predicted model, not a curated record. The transcript has 4 exons. NCBI's taxonomy places the organism in Eukaryota, Metazoa, Mollusca, Bivalvia, Ostreida, Ostreidae.
GAAAAACCCCUACAUAAACAAAUACAUGGGCGCAGACAUUUUGGACACCCGAAGUUGUGCGGAGGAGAAAAUGCUAGCUGGCGCGUGAUUGGUCAAUAAGAGAAAAGACUGGUUAUGUAUUUGACAAGUGAAAUAAAGUUGAUAAAAAUCUCAUAUCAAGACUUGGGUUUCUUUGAGGUAUAUAGGAGUUACAGCGAUGCAUUCUCAAGAAGGAAGAGAUUAAUGAACCCUACCCUCUUACAAUGAACAACACAUGGAUACUCUCGGGAUGAUCCCUUUGCUUUCAUUAAGAGUUCCAAGAUGUGGGUCUGAUUGACUGGGGUGUGAAAUGUAACAGCCAAUGGUGUACUUAAGGAAAAACCCCUACAUAACAAAUACAU